Molecule: long non-coding RNA, 2184 nt
Organism: Vigna angularis (adzuki bean)
Lineage: Eukaryota; Viridiplantae; Streptophyta; Magnoliopsida; Fabales; Fabaceae
Exons: 2
Source: RefSeq, a predicted model, not a curated record
CCUUUUUUUCGUUCUAGUACCAUUUGGUGUGAGUCAUCUAGAGUUCCUCAUGGUUUCUCUUUGUAGAAACCCUAGGGCUGCCUUCUGUUCUUUCUCUAUUGCAUUACUGGAAUGUGUGCAUGCCUUUACCUUGUUUCAAAAUGUCUUUAGGGACUAUCUCCUCUUUUCCCUGGAUUCCUUCUAUAACUUCUAAGAAAUUAAAUGGGAAAAAUUACCUAUCUUGGUCUGUGUCAAUUGAACUUUGAUAUCUUGCUCAAAGGUUCCAUGAUCACUUAAAAGAAUAUUGGAGUAGAGUACCAACAGAUCAAAUUCAACCUUGGAAGAAACCUGAUUUUCAUCUUUGUGCUCUACUUUGGCUUAGGUCAUCCAAAACCCGUAACUCCUUUUGGAUAAAGGUCAAAAAUAUUUUUGUAGACGAUGUCCAACACCUCUAUGAUUAUGCUAAUCGAUUGUCUCAAGCAAUCUGAUAAUGACAUGACGUCUUUCAUUGCUAAAUCUCAAUCAAUAGUUGAGGAAUUGAAAAUGUUCUUGGUAGUUCACUCAUUAGUUGAGAUAAAAGAAAUGUUGGAUAAGUUUUAUAUGGUUAUGAUCCUCUAUGCCAUGAAUCUAGAUUUUUAUCAUAUUAGUGAUCAAAUUUUAACCUGUCAAGAAGUUUCUUCUAUGGAAAACUUGACAAGACUCGAUCGUGUACCAUCACUACUUUAUGGAUGAAAAUUAAUCCAAACAUUUUUUUUUCAACAUUAAUUAUUUCUUAAGCUUACUUUUUUAACAAUUUUUUUUUUAAAAUAUAUUUUAAAUUUUUUUCACAGAUUUUAUUUCUGAAAAUAUAAUUUUAAAAAUAGAUUUCUAAUUUUCUUAAAAUAUAUUAUUUUUAUGGAUGAAUUGUAUUCAUGAGAAAGCUGUUAAUGGAUAGAUUGAAUUGGAUUUUUUAUUAAUUAGAUCAGGAUGAAUAAGAUAUUUUAAUUAAAUUUUUGGUGGAUCAUAAUGGAUUAAUGAUUUUUUUCAUCGUAUCCAUUAUAAUUCGAAAUAAAAUUGAUCAAAUCCGUCCAGUAUGUCAUUCUUAGUCCUACAGUUAUUUGUUUAAAAGUUUGUAUAUUCAAGGGUGUUGUCUCCUUGAUCUUAAAUUUGCUAUAAAAUAAGUGCAUGUUUGAAACUCUUCUUCUAAAGAAAAUACUUAUUUUUCAAAAGCUCUGAUUAGAUAGUAUGAAAAAAUAAGCUAAUAUUGGUUCACAAUAAGUUGAACCAAACAGAUUGUUUGGCUUGUCUAAUGGGCUCCCUGCGUUUGGUUUGUUUGAAGGAAAUUUGUUUAGCUGAAAAAGAAAAAAGAGGGAAAAUUUGUAUGAGGGAAUGGUCAACUAACUAUAACGGUGUAAUCGGAGCAUACUAGUAUAUGGUUUUUCGGUGUUUGUUACUUCGGAAGAUGGAUAUUGUAUAUUUAUUUAAGUGUUUUGAUGGUUUAUGCCAAUUUUUUGUGCUCAUGUUCUUCUUCCUUCUAUUUUCGAUUUUCUGUACAGUUUAUUUUGUUUGGAGAAAUCGUGCUGGCACAGAAGGUAAUGUAUGAAAAAUUUGGGGAUGCUUUUCUGGUUCAUUUUGUAUCAAAAGGAUUAUCUUCUGCAAAUAGCCCACAAGAUCUGGCAGAGCAAUAUCGUCAAAAGUUGCAGGGUGGAGAUUUAAAGGCACUAAAAUCUUUCUAUCAGUCAGUAGUGGAAAACUUGAGACUGCAGCAGAAUGGAAGCCUUGUAUUCAGAUAGCAUACUUGUAUUGGAAAAAUUAGCGAGUCCUCUUCCUAUAUAAUAUAUAAGGCUUUGUUUUUUGGCCGUCUCCUAGUUUGGGGUUUGAUUUCUUUCUACAGAAGGUAGUUACGAUUUGUUUUUGAUGAAAUCAAGUUUGAGCUCUUUUUGAUUGGUUUUUCAAUCACCAGUAAAUUUUGUCCCUCAAUAGUGCGGUAAUGAAACGGUGGGGAACACUGCAGGGUUGUGUAUAUAGAUUUUGCGGUCGAGCGAUGGAUAUUCUACUGGCCCUAAUUUUGACGACUUCCUCAUGCAACCUCACCAAUCAGCUAAUUGUCUCAGGUCUUUCAUUAUUCUUUUUGUCCCACACUUGUAAAUUUUUGUUAUUCUCUUGACAUCCAUCGGUUCCAAGCUUGUCAAUAUGAGGUCAAGAUUUUGGUUUUUGAUUUCUCAA